CGGGUAUCGGGGUAUUUUGUCCAGCAAUGAGAUGCUCUGGAAACAGAAGUUGGAGAUCAAGGUGUGGUCAGCCUGGCUCUUCCUAAGGGCCCUGUGGCAGGCAGCCUGGGUUCCUUGGCUUAUACCGGAUCAGAGGUCUACCUACUCCAGUGGGACUUCAUUUCAACUGAUGCUGGCAGGUGAUCCUACUUGUAAUCGAGAUCACAACUUGAAGUACCAGAAGCCAUGGUUUCAACCUAUGGCUCUGCAG
Long non-coding RNA from Chinchilla lanigera (long-tailed chinchilla), 250 nucleotides. RefSeq lists it as uncharacterized. The transcript has 3 exons. NCBI's taxonomy places the organism in Eukaryota, Metazoa, Chordata, Mammalia, Rodentia, Chinchillidae. The record is from RefSeq and is a predicted model, not a curated record.